GUUCUUCAUAGCCGAUGCAGAGCUUCUAUCACACAUCUGCUGCUGUGAAGCCAGGAGGAAGGAAGACCUCUUGAACUGCAGAAAGGGAAGAGGAUGAGGGUUUAGGUUCCCCGAUAACCCUGACCCGGGAGGCCAGAGCUGCACUCGAGAAGGUCCAGACCACCAUAGCGAACAGGCAGGCCCAUCGUUGUCAACCAGGGCUGCCAUUCCACUUCAGCAUCCUAGGCCAGAACCGCCAGCCCUGAGACAUUUCAAGCAACAUCAGGAGCUCCAGCCAGAGGAGCGGCCUCCAGUGUUAGUGAGGGAUCUGGACUCUAAAGAAAUCCAGGGUCGAUUCCCACUUUUGACUUGGGGAUGGGGAUAUGCCUGUGUAUCCAUGCCCUCAGGAGUCAAGUGAGUCCCCAGGAGGCAUGUUAAACCUUAUACUCCAGGGCAGUUAGUGAGUCAAGACGAUAAGGUGCCUGUGGAUGCAAGCAAUGAUCCCACCAACCAAGGUGUUGCAUCCAAUUGUAAGCGCCGCAAGGAGGAAAGGGACUCUACAUCUCCCAAAAAAUAUUUUCUCUUUCCAGCUGCCUCAGUCCAGUUAUGCCACUAGUUCAUAUGUUUACAAUAAAGUUGUUUUCCCUGUUCCCCUAUCCCCGAACACCCAAAGAAGAACCAGCUCCAGCAUCAUCUCCAGGCCCUCUCCAUCUGCAAGGUAGUCAUCGCAGCCACAGCAGCAGAAGAAGCUGGGAGAAGAGGCCACCACGCGAGAAACAAAUCAAAGCAACUGUCUUCUUUAUGUUUUAUAAAGCGGGGAGAUGUUGCAUCCCGGGUUGCGUUCAGAUUAGGGGUUCUGAUAUGUGUUAGUUAGCUGGUUCUGUGUACCCCCUUGUACACCCCUGCUCCCCCUGCGAUGGUUCAUUCCAGGCUGCCUGCCAUUGGAGCUUCUCCAUGUCACUCCAGUAACCACCCCCCAUCCCUUCCUGCAACUUCCCUGUCAGUUACCCCAUCCCCAUGUCUGCAUUCACCCCAGAGCCCCAAGUCCGCCCCGUCGCGUUCCUGUUGGUCGCCAUGGUCCACGUCACCGCGACGGUGCCUGUCCCCAUUGGCCAGGAGGGCUUCUGCCUUCCUUGUCCCUCCCGCUAUAAAAUCCUGCGCCUCCCCAGUCCCAGCGCCAUUUUCUGUCCACGCGGCGCUGAGAGCGAGCCGCGGCUUCUCCACUGCAGCUCCCCACGGCAAUUAAAGCUUUCCAGCAGACUGCACAGACAGGGUGGACAAUUCCUUCCCUCUUCGUUUCUCACCUCGCGCCGAUGGCAGAACACGGCCAGCCCCUGCCCAGUGCACAGAAGGCAGAAGCGCCCGGGAAUCGUGGCAAGCCCCGGUCCCGCCGAAAAGAAGUGCCCGAGCCGGGCUCUCCGGAGCUGCCCGGGACCAGGAAAAAUAACACAACACCGCAGUAAUGUAUAGAUUUCUAGGAAUGAUACAAAGGAAGGCAUAAGCUGGAAAUAAUUUGCAGACCAAAAGGUUAGUUGUGUGAUAUACUCCAACAUGAUUCUAACCAUUGAUUUAAAUGUGGUCUUGUUUUUUAUUUAUUUAGCAGGGAUCGUUGUUGCUAAAAAGUCCACAGGGCAUCUUCUGAUUUUUUUUGCUCUUGCCUUCUAAUUUUGUGUUAUUUCUCAAUGCUAAUCCAUCUGCACUGAUGCAUUCAACAUAUAUCUACAACAUAUGUACCUGCAUAUCAGAACGAGGGAGAAGUGUCUGAAAACUCUGGGCAGAUGAGGUGAAUGCAUUGCUUUAAUUUUCAUACUAUUCUUUUAUAACAUUUUAAUGAUUUAGUUUUAUUAGUGUCUUAUUAAUGUGCAUAGUACUCUGUAUACUAUACAUUUAAUAUAAUGCCUACAGGUUUUUCUGACUUUCCAGAUGCUGCUUGGAAAUCUAGAAAAUCUCUGUUACAAGACAGUAACUUAAGAUAAGAAUAAGAUUCCGGGGUAGUGAUGAGGAUACAGAAGAACGGUGACAUAGACUUGAAAUGGGUUUGAAAUGGGUUUGACUUUUUUUAUUGCUGAGUAAUUAAAGUGGUAAAUAGAAUGCUAAUGGUAGAGACAAAGAAGAGCUGAUUUGGAGGGACCAGGUACAGUGCAGCACUCUACCUAGCACAAAGUUAUUGUUCAUGAUGGGGGUUGGGAGAGGAGAUUAUUUUAGUUGUAGGUUACAUUCAGAUUUCAAUAUUAAAAAUAUAUGUAAAAACUGCCUUUUAAUAGUCUUCUGCUAGUUUUGCAGCAAUUCACUACACCUAGAGUCUCCUUUUCCCUGCAUCUUACAAGGACAUCUAAGAUACCACGUUUAAAACACUACCACUGAUUUAGAGGCUUUUAGACACCAAUUUGCAGGGAAUUCAAAGCUGCAGACAAUGAAAUCACGAGAGAAGCCACAUAAGCAAGUGUGGCUCCAGCUGUUCUUUGAAUUUCAGGUUCAAAAUGUUGUAACAUAGUCAU
Molecule: long non-coding RNA, 2477 nt
Organism: Vidua macroura (Pin-tailed whydah)
Lineage: Eukaryota; Metazoa; Chordata; Aves; Passeriformes; Viduidae
Exons: 3
Source: RefSeq, a predicted model, not a curated record